This is a small nucleolar RNA of Amphibalanus amphitrite, 212 nucleotides long. RefSeq annotates it as small nucleolar RNA U3. Lineage: Eukaryota; Metazoa; Arthropoda; Thecostraca; Balanomorpha; Balanidae. The record is from RefSeq and is a predicted model, not a curated record. The transcript has a single exon.
AAGACCUUACUUCUGCAGGAGCUACCCGACAGGUCUUAAUGCGGUCCCCACAUGGGGGUGCCGUGUGUCCCAAACCACAAUGAUGGAGAAAUGGUCUCUCGUAAGCGGGAAAUGGUAUGUUACCAUCCUGGCGUCGGAGGUAAUCAUGCGUUGAUGACCCAUCCACUAAAUGCUUCGGCAGGAGGUGGCGGAGAGAGCACACGCUGAGUGGU